Molecule: non-coding RNA, 153 nt
Organism: Pseudonaja textilis
Lineage: Eukaryota; Metazoa; Chordata; Lepidosauria; Squamata; Elapidae
Source: RefSeq, a predicted model, not a curated record
CUCUGGGCACAAUGAGAAUAUAUCUGCUGAACAAAACUCCACAUUGGGGACAGGAAGGGCAUCCGGCCAUUAAAACACUCUGCUAUCUCCACUCAGUUGCCCAGACUCCAUCCCGCAAGGGAUUGUGGGAUCGUUAAAAGAAGAUAUGGGCUU